RNAcentral lists this ribosomal RNA (1456 nucleotides) under Nanoarchaeota archaeon SCGC AAA011-L22. RNAcentral's name for it is "bacterial SSU rRNA". It matches the Rfam family "Archaeal small subunit ribosomal RNA". RNAcentral also lists the same sequence under 2 other names. Lineage: Archaea; Nanobdellati; Nanobdellota. The record is from RNAcentral.
UUCCGUUGAUUCUGCGGAAGGUUGCUGCUAUUGAGAUUCGACUUAGACAUGCAAGUCAGGGGUUUCUUCGGAAACACCGGCAAACGGCUCAGUAACACGUCGAUAAUCUGCCCUUUGGUCUAGGACAGCCUUGGGAAACUGAGGGUAAACCUGGAUAGGAGAGAAAUACUGGAAUGUUUUUUCUUUUAAAAGCAAUGCCAAAGGAUGAGUCGGCGGCUGAUUAGGCUGUUGGUGAGGUAAUGGCUCACCAAACCUUUGAUCAGUAGGGGGAAUGAGAGUUCUAGCCCCGAGAAGGGCACUGAGACAAGGGCCCUAGCCCUAAGGGGUGCAGCAGUUACGAAACCUUUACAAUGCACGAAAGUGUGAUAAGGGGAUCUCAAGUGCUCUAUCAUUGAUAGAGCUUUUGCCAAGUGUAAAUAGCUUGGAGAAUAAGUGGUGGGCAAGACCGGUGCCAGCCGCCGCGGUAACACCGGCGCCACAAGUGGGAAUCACAUUUACUGGGUCUAAAGCGUCCGUAGCUCGUUGGAAAAGUUUUAUGUGAAAUUGUUGGGCUUAACCUAACAACGCGCAUAGAAAACUAUCUGACUAGAGACCGGGAGGAGACAAGGGUACGUUAGGGGGAGUGGUAAAAUAUGAUAAUCCCUAACGGACGGCCAAUGGCGAAGGCAUUUGUCUAGAACGGGUCUGACAGUGAGGGACGAAAGCUAGGGGAGCAAUCCGGAUUAGAUACCCGAGUAGUCCUAGCUGUAAACGCUGUGAGUUAUGUGUUACAUAUUCUCCGUGAAUAUGUAGUGCCGAAGCGAAGGCGUUAAACUCACCACCUGGGAAGUACGGUCGCAAGAUUGAAACUUAAAGAAAUUGGCGGGGGAGCACUACAACGAGUGAAAUGUGCGGUUUAAUCGGAUUCAACGCCGGAAAUCUCACCAGGAGCGACGGCAGAAUGAAGGUCAGAUUAAAGGUUUUACCUGACAAGCCGAGAGGAGUUGCAUGGCCGCCGUCAGUUCGUGCCGUAAGGUGUCCAGUUAAGUCUGGUAACGAACAAGAUCUAUAUUCACAGUUGCUAACAUCUCGUUAGAGGAUUGAGCACAUUGUGGAGACUGCCUUGGUAACAAGGAGGAAGGUGUAGGCCACGGUAGGUCUGUAUGGCCCGAAUCUCCUGGGCUACACGCGCAUUGCAGUGGUAGGGACAAUGGGAUACAACUCCGUAAGGAGAAGUCAAACCUCUAAACCCUAUCUUAGUCUGGAUUGUGGACUGUAACUCGUCCACAUGAAAACGGAAUUCGUAGUAAUCGGAAUUCAAUAAGUUCUGAUGAAUAGGUCCCUGCUCCUUGCACACACCGCCCGUCAAACCAACCGAGUAGGGUCUAGGUGAGGUUUAAUUCAAGGUUAAAUCAAACCUAGGUUCAGCGAGGUGGGUUAAGUCGUCACAAGGUAGCCGUAGGGGAACCUGCGGCUG